AAGACUAUACUUCACAGGAUCAUUUCUGUAGUCAGUCUUCAUUUACUUUCUUUGCAAAUCGAAAGUCGACAGACCCGCGAUGAGGAGACAUAUCGUUUUAUCUGGCAGCGUGAGGUUUAUGAAUAUUAUUUCUAAUUUCGUCCUUAAUGGUCGUGUUUGAAAUAAUAUUUCUUCGAUGAUCGCUCGGUUUAAACGGAUAAAACGACUUCUGAGUGGU
Ceratitis capitata (Mediterranean fruit fly) is the source of this 217-nucleotide small nucleolar RNA. RefSeq annotates it as small nucleolar RNA U3. The record is from RefSeq and is a predicted model, not a curated record. Lineage: Eukaryota; Metazoa; Arthropoda; Insecta; Diptera; Tephritidae. The transcript has a single exon.